Drosophila miranda is the source of this 881-nucleotide long non-coding RNA. RefSeq lists it as uncharacterized. The record is from RefSeq and is a predicted model, not a curated record. NCBI's taxonomy places the organism in Eukaryota, Metazoa, Arthropoda, Insecta, Diptera, Drosophilidae. The transcript has 3 exons.
GUAGGCGAGGCCCUUAUAGAAGAUGGCGUGGGAGGCCGCUCGCUGCAGGCAGCCAUAGGAAUUACAGCAGGACGGCAGGCCAACGGAUGGACUGCUGGGCGCCAGAUUUGCCUUGGAUGCACCAAGAGGCCGUCAGUAGCUGUGAUAUUUGCCUGUAAAUAAAGGUUUUGGAGCAGCCAUAGCUUUUGGUUGUGCAGCUUCUACACACACAGAUGAGGCUUCCUGGUGCGGAUUUGUGCGGGCUCGGCUUUCUUCGGCGGCAAAUGCUGCGUCCAUCUCGUCGUCGAGUUCCUUCUCAAGCUGCUGCUGCAGGGACUUCAUCUGCUCUUCGAGAAGCUGCUCUGGAGUAGGCGGAGGGAGUUCGUGCGGUUCAAGCGGAGUCAUUAUGAGCCUUUGUAUGUAUUCAGGUUCAAAACGAAUCUUCUGUGCCAUUUCUAAUCGAUUCAUUUCUCCUCUUCUGAGACAUUGCGCCAUACAAUUAACCCAGAUUAUUGAGGGUCUCUCCUGCGGGAUACCAAGGGCUAUGCAACGCUCUUGUUCAAGGCGUUUCCGUUCGACAAGUGCUUCCUUGGCUUGGGACUCCCGGAGUUGGCGCUGUUGUUCAAUUUCCAGCUGCUCGUGCCUGAUUAAAGUUGGCAGCAGUAGUUGUUGUUGUGCUGCCUGCUGCAGGAGUUGUUGUUGGAGAGGCCGAAAAUUUGGAUGGCGAAAUAGUGAAGCUGCUAGUCUGCCGCUGGCUUUAUCAAAGGUUUCUUCUGCAGAGUCAAUGUUGUGUGCAUCUCGGAUAACUUGAUUUCUUGUGUACCUGCUAGCCUUCACGAUUUUCCGUAGGAGUUGGUUCUGUGCGCUUUCUACCCUGCAAAAUUGUGAUUCGCAUACCAAUG